UACGUAGGGGGCGAGCGUUGUCCGGAUUUAUUGGGCGUAAAGGGCUCGUAGGUGGCUUGGCAAGUCGGACGUGAAAGUCCAGGGCUCAACCCUGGGAUGCCGUUCGAUACUGCUUUGCUAGAGGCCGGUAGGGGGAUCUGGAAUUCCUGGUGUAGCGGUGUAAUGCGCAGAUAUCAGGAGGAACACCGGUGGCGAAGGCGGGAUCCUGGGCCGGACCUGACGCUGAUGAGCGAAAGCUGGGGGAGCAAACAG
RNAcentral lists this ribosomal RNA (252 nucleotides) under uncultured prokaryote. Its description in RNAcentral is "partial 16S ribosomal RNA". It matches the Rfam family "Bacterial small subunit ribosomal RNA", at positions 524 to 775 of the family's 1533-position model. The record is from RNAcentral.